This 269-nucleotide ribosomal RNA is filed under the name uncultured prokaryote. RNAcentral describes it as "partial 16S ribosomal RNA". It matches the Rfam family "Bacterial small subunit ribosomal RNA", at positions 524 to 792 of the family's 1533-position model. The record is from RNAcentral.
UACGGAGGUGGCAAGCGUUGUUCGGAUUGAUUGGGUGUAAAGGGCAUGUAGGCGUCCGGGUAAGUCGAAUGUGAAAUCCCGUAGCUCAACUACGGAACUGCAUUCGAAACUGCAUGGAUUGAGUACGAAAGGGGAGAAUGGAAUUCCCGGUGUAAGGGUGAAAUCUGUAGAUAUCGGGAGGAACACCAGUGGCGAAGGCGAUUCUCUGGUUCGAUACUGACGCUGAAAUGCGAAAGCUAAGGGAGUAAACAGGAUUAGAUACCCCUGUA